CGGGGUGUAGCGCAGUCCGGUUAGCGCGCCUGCUUUGGGAGCAGGAAGUCCCCGGUUCGAAUCCGGGCACCCCGA
This 75-nucleotide transfer RNA is filed under the name bacterium (Candidatus Ratteibacteria) CG_4_10_14_3_um_filter_41_18. RNAcentral's name for it is "tRNA-Pro". It matches the Rfam family "tRNA". From Rfam's summary of the family: Transfer RNA (tRNA) molecules are approximately 80 nucleotides in length. Their secondary structure includes four short double-helical elements and three loops (D, anti-codon, and T loops). The record is from RNAcentral. Lineage: Bacteria; Candidatus Ratteibacteria.